GCUCAGUUACCUCAGAAAUUCUCAACACGAUAGUAUCUUUUUUAUAUAUAUAUAGAUAUAUAAAUAAGCUUUAAUUUUUUUCCUUUCCUAAAGCAUCAAAACAGAAAAAAACAGAAAUUGUAUUUUUUAAAUGAAGCUCAGAUUAAGCUGAUAUAAAAAUAGCUUUAAAACAGAAAAAAGUACAAUCACAAAACAAUUAUCUUAUUGAAUGAAAAAAAAAAUCUCAGAAAAGUAGAAAAUAGAAAUCCACAUUCAACAUGGCAUUAAUUCAUUAAGACCAAACAGGAUUUAUGUUGUAAGAUAAAGAUAUUUUGGUGUUUGAAUAUCUCACUCAUUAUUUUGAUUAAAGAAAGUAAAAAUCUUUCCACAGUCAAUAAGAUAGUUUAAAAUGCAUUCGUGAAUCUCCCACUUGAUGGGAAUGUGUUUUAAUUUUCAGCUUCCUCUGAUAUAAUUUGCUUCUUUCUAAACUAUGAUUUCCUUCCCCCCGGGAGCUGGUGCUGACCUGCUACUGGCAGCAGAAGCUGCUUCUACUUAGAACAUUCCCCAGUGUGAGGCAGAACUCUGCUCUAGCUUCAAAACACUUGGGAGUAAACCUCCUCUCAGGCCCACACUAAACAUGUAACUUGAAGUAAGGAGCUUAAUCUUUCUAAGCCUCAUUUCCUCGGCUGUAAGAGAGCCACGAUAGUAUCUUAAACAAGAAAGCUUAUUUCUCUCCCAUGUUCAAAUAGAGGUAGUCAGUCUGAGCAGAUCUGGCCCAAUGGUGCCAGAAACCUUGGUUCCGUCUUGUAAUUCUCCUGGGUGUGGUUUCCAUUCCCAGGGUCAUGGCCUGGUCUCAGAUGGCAGGUGCAGCCCCAGCCAUUCAUCCUUGUUCAGCCAGGAGACAUUUCCCCACUUCUUUUGGGGUAGCUUCAGAAAAGUUACGUGAAACACUUUGGCGUACAUCCUUUUAGGCAGUGUGGAACCAUGUGACCAUGUCUACCUGAAAGAGGCUGAGAAAUAAAGCCUUUAUUUGGGGGCCACAGCUGGUGCCCUCACUGCAGAGGGAGAAGGGUGGUCAAUGAGGGACAGUAAGCAGCAGUGUAGCCUUUAAGGUAGGUACACAUGCAGCCCCACCAUUUGCCUAAGAUUUGAGGGAACAGAAGAGACAUUUCAGAUGAGGGGCACUGGGAAGAGAACAGCAGCUUUUAAGGUGACAUUUUCCAUGAAGACUUAGGCAGAAGCUGCAAGGUUAGAUGGGUCUGAGCACCAGCCACUUUCACGCAGAUGGCAUGGAGAAAUGUCACUGUGGGGCAGCGUGGCCUUGCAGUGUGCCACUGAGGGAAGCAGUGGAGAGGCUGAACUCCAGGAGAGAUGGGGGAAGGUCCAUUGUCACCCAAGGCCCAUGAGGACUGGGAUGACUUUAUCUUUUCCCUGUUGAUUUUUAUUUCUGUUUUAUGUUAGUUCAUCACUACAUGCUCUUAGAACAGCUGCACUUAGCUCAUUUCCUGAAACUUUUGAUGACCUAGAAAUGGCUUUGUGGCCUCUUCCCUAUUGAUGCAGCACAUACCAAACCUCCAGGAUGGCCUUGCUCAGAACUGAGAGACCUGUGGGCUGCUGGAGCUGCUGUCAUGGCUCAGGACAUAGCCCUCCUUUAAGAAACUGAGAAAUGCUGCGUGUGGUGACUCAUGCCUGUAAUCCUAGUGGCUUGGGAGGUUGAGAUAGGAGGAUCACAGGUCCGAAGCAAGACCCGGUCUCAAAAUAUAAAAAGGGCUGGGAAUGUGGCUCAGUGGUUCAGUGUUAGAGUCUGUAAACAAGUCAAAAAUAACACCUGGCAUUUUGCCAGGGGAAUGUUAGAGUUCGUAAACAAGUCUGGAUGGUGCCUGGCAAAAUGCCAGAGGGAGUGGUUUGAGAAGUAACAAAAGCGAGCCAUUAAGUGUGGAGAUUCCUUAUUGGUUGACUGAUGUAUCUAGUUUAUGCUAAUUAGAUAAGCUGUGUGGAAUGUAUAAAUACUGCUCCUGUCCUACAAUAAACGGCUCCUACUCCUGCUGUAUCAACGUACACAAGUUAUUCGUCACCCCCCCUGGUUAUUUUGCUGCAGCCGGACGGACUGCGGCAGUUAAGCACCCCAGGUUCAACUCCUGGUACAAAAAGGAAAAAGAGGGGUUGGGGAUAUAGCGCAGUUGGUAGAGUGCUUGCCUCACACACACAAGGCCCUGGGCUUAAUCCCUGGCACCAUCAAAAGAAAACAAUGAAGCAACUUCAUGGCAAUUCACAAGUACUGUGACAAGUGAAGGGUCUCAUGUAGAGGGAGGUGUGGAGCCUUGGUGACAGGAAGGAUCUCUGGCAGCUGAAGAAGGCUUAGCUGGGCUGACCCUUUAGGUGGUGGAAAAGC
RNAcentral lists this long non-coding RNA (2371 nucleotides) under Marmota monax (woodchuck). Lineage: Eukaryota; Metazoa; Chordata; Mammalia; Rodentia; Sciuridae. The record is from RNAcentral.